AGACCCGAAACCCGGUGAUCUAGCCAUGGGCAGGUUGAAGGUUGGGUAACACUAACUGGAGGACCGAACCGACUAAUGUUGAAAAAUUAGCGGAUGACCUGUGGCUGGGGGUGAAAGGCCAAUCAAACCGGGAGAUAGCUGGUUCUCCCCGAAAGCUAUUUAGGUAGCGCCUCGUGAAUUCAUCUCCGGGGGUAGAGCACUGUUUCGGCUAGGGGGCCAUCCCGGCUUACCAACCCGAUGCAAACUGCGAAUACCGGAGAAUGUUAUCACGGGAGACACACGGCGGGUGCUAACGUCCGUCGUGAAGAGGGAAACAACCCAGACCGCCAGCUAAGGUCCCAAAGUCAUGGUUAAGUGGGAAACGAUGUGGGAAGGCCCAGACAGCCAGGAUGUUGGCUUAGAAGCAGCCAUCAUUUAAAGAAAGCGUAAUAGCUCACUGGUCGAGUCGGCCUGCGCGGAAGAUGUAACGGGGCUAAACCAUGCACCGAAGCUGCGGCAGCGACGCUUAUGCGUUGUUGGGUAGGGGAGCGUUCUGUAAGCCUGCGAAGGUGGCCUGUGAGGGUUGCUGGAGGUAUCAGAAGUGCGAAUGCUGACAUAAGUAACGAUAAAGCGGGUGAAAAGCCCGCUCGCCGGAAGACCAAGGGUUCCUGUCCAACGUUAAUCGGGGCAGGGUGAGUCGACCCCUAAGGCGAGGCCGAAAGGCGUAGUCGAUGGGAAACGGGUUAAUAUUCCCGUACUUGGUGUUACUGCGAAGGGGGGACGGAGAAGGCUAUGUUGGCCGGGCGACGGUUGUCCCGGUUUAAGCGUGUAGGUGUGUGUUCCAGGUAAAUCCGGUUCACUUUAACACUGAGGCGUGACGACGAGGCACUACGGUGCUGAAGCAACAAAUGCCCUGCUUCCAGGAAAAGCCUCUAAGCAUCAGGUAACAUCAAAUCGUACCCCAAACCGACACAGGUGGUCAGGUAGAGAAUACCAAGGCGCUUGAGAGAACUCGGGUGAAGGAACUAGGCAAAAUGGUGCCGUAACUUCGGGAGAAGGCACGCUGACACGUAGGUGAAGUGAUUUACUCAUGGAGCUGAAGUCAGUCGAAGAUACCAGCUGGCUGCAACUGUUUAUUAAAAACACAGCACUGUGCAAACACGAAAGUGGACGUAUACGGUGUGACGCCUGCCCGGUGCCGGAAGGUUAAUUGAUGGGGUCAGCGCAAGCGAAGCUCCUGAUCGAAGCCCCGGUAAACGGCGGCCGUAACUAUAACGGUCCUAAGGUAGCGAAAUUCCUUGUCGGGUAAGUUCCGACCUGCACGAAUGGCGUAAUGAUGGCCAGGCUGUCUCCACCCGAGACUCAGUGAAAUUGAACUCGCUGUGAAGAUGCAGUGUACCCGCGGCAAGACGGAAAGACCCCGUGAACCUUUACUAUAGCUUGACACUGAACAUUGAGCCUUGAUGUGUAGGAUAGGUGGGAGGCUUUGAAGCGUGGACGCCAGUCUGCGUGGAGCCGACCUUGAAAUACCACCCUUUAAUGUUUGAUGUUCUAACGUGGACCCGUUACCCGGGUUGCGGACAGUGUCUGGUGGGUAGUUUGACUGGGGCGGUCUCCUCCUAAAGAGUAACGGAGGAGCACGAAGGUUGGCUAAUCCUGGUCGGACAUCAGGAGGUUAGUGCAAUGGCAUAAGCCAGCUUGACUGCGAGCGUGACGGCGCGAGCAGGUGCGAAAGCAGGUCAUAGUGAUCCGGUGGUUCUGAAUGGAAGGGCCAUCGCUCAACGGAUAAAAGGUACUCCGGGGAUAACAGGCUGAUACCGC
RNAcentral lists this ribosomal RNA (1800 nucleotides) under Salmonella enterica subsp. enterica serovar Braenderup. RNAcentral describes it as "partial 23S ribosomal RNA". It matches the Rfam family "Bacterial large subunit ribosomal RNA", at positions 711 to 2491 of the family's 2925-position model. Lineage: Bacteria; Pseudomonadati; Pseudomonadota; Gammaproteobacteria; Enterobacterales; Enterobacteriaceae. The record is from RNAcentral.